This 479-nucleotide ribosomal RNA is filed under the name uncultured bacterium. RNAcentral describes it as "partial 16S ribosomal RNA". It matches the Rfam family "Bacterial small subunit ribosomal RNA", at positions 28 to 507 of the family's 1533-position model. The record is from RNAcentral.
GAUGAACGCUGGCGGCGUGCUUAACACAUGCAAGUCGAACGAAGCACUUUAACCUGAUUCUUCGGAUGAAGGUUUUUGUGACUGAGUGGCGGACGGGUGAGUAACGCGUGGGUAACCUGCCUCAUACAGGGGGAUAACAGUUAGAAAUGACUGCUAAUACCGCAUAAGACCACAGAGCCGCAUGGCUCGGUGGGAAAAACUCCGGUGGUAUGAGAUGGACCCGCGUCUGAUUAGGUAGUUGGUGGGGUAACGGCCUACCAAGCCAACGAUCAGUAGCCGACCUGAGAGGGUGACCGGCCACAUUGGGACUGAGACACGGCCCAAACUCCUACGGGAGGCAGCAGUGGGGAAUAUUGCACAAUGGGGGAAACCCUGAUGCAGCGACGCCGCGUGAGCGAAGAAGUAUUUCGGGAUGUAAAGCUCUAUCAGCAGGGAGGAAAAUGACGGUACCUGACGAAGAAGCACCGGCUAAAUACGUG